Molecule: unclassified non-coding RNA, 376 nt
Filed under: uncultured Gammaproteobacteria bacterium
Lineage: Bacteria; Pseudomonadati; Pseudomonadota; Gammaproteobacteria
Description: partial 16S-23S ribosomal RNA intergenic spacer
Source: RNAcentral
CCUCCUUAUAACGAAGUUACACUUACAGAGUGCUCACACAAAUAAUUAAUUACGAAGUUUUAAGAGAGCUCUAACCCAUGCGCACAGUAUGUGCUCAUCAGUUAGGGUUUUUAACCCGGACGUGUAAACGUCAUGCUCUUUAACAAUUUGGAAAGCUGAUAAAAUAAGGUAAACAUUAUUGUUUAUUUGAUUUGUUAUUCAACAAUUUAAAAAAUAAUUUUGAUUAUCACUGUAAGAGAAAACUCAAGCGUUAUUUAUGUCAAAACGAACAUGCCUAUACAACAUGUCUCGUUAAUAAAUAUGACACAAGAUGAUGCAAUCGAGAAUGUGAGAACAUUUAAGGUUGUAUGGUUAAGUGAAUAAGCGUAUACGGUGG